AUACAGGGGGCACUUAGGCCAAGUGCACAAAUUUUCAUUUUGAGUUGGGGGAUUAGCUCAAAUGGUAGAGCUUAGCAUGUGAGAAGUAGCGGGAUCAAUGCUUGAUUCUCCACUAAAGCUUAAUUAAUUAUGUGCCUGUGAUUAAUGGAAAACGACCAGAUUUGUAAAUAAACAUUGCUCACUUUGAAUCAGCAGGAUGCAUCAACGUGUCAUUGCAAAAGGACUUGUUGAAUGGCAUUAAUGUGUUUUUUCUUGAUGAUCUGAGCACAAUGGAUUAGCAGUCCAUUAUCUUAACCACUCGGCCACCUCGUCCUAUUUCUUUUGUUUUCAUAGGAUGAUUAGAUAAUUGUCAAUAUUGUAGCAUGUUUUUCAUGUUCCUGGGAAGUUUGUAAAGGCGUUAAAUGCAGGGGGGCACUUAGGUCAAGUACACAAGUUUGCAUUAUGUGUUGGGGAAUUAGCUCAAAUGGUAGAGCGCUCGCUUAGCAUGCGAGAAGUAGCGUGAUCAACGCCCGCAUUCUCCACUAAAACUUAAUUAAUUUUGUGCCUGCGAAUAGUGGAAAAUGACCAGAUUGAUAAACAACUGCUGCACAAUCGAAAUCAGCAGGAUGCACCUGCGUGUCGUUGCAAAAUGACUCGUUGAAUGCAUCAAUGCGGUUUUCUUGACGACAUUUCUGCAAACACUGACAUGGUAAGAGAGCAUCAGGUAAAUUCGACGAGAAUGGAAUUCGAACCCAUGCGUGCAGAGCACAAUGGUUUAGCAGUCCAUCAUCUUAACCACUCGGCCACCUCGUCCUAUUUCUUUUGUUUUCAUGGGAUGAUUAAAUGAAUGUCAAUAUUGUAGCAUGUUUUUCAUAUUCCUGGGAAGUUUGUAAAGGCGUUAAAUGCAGGGGGGCACUUAGGUCAAGUACACAAGUUUGCAUUAUGUGUUGGGGAAUUAGCUCAAAUGGUAGAGCGCUCGCUUAGCAUGCGAGAAGUAGCGGGAUCAACGCCCGCAUUCUCCACUAAAA
This is a long non-coding RNA of Gasterosteus aculeatus aculeatus (three-spined stickleback), 1007 nucleotides long. The record is from Ensembl. NCBI's taxonomy places the organism in Eukaryota, Metazoa, Chordata, Actinopteri, Perciformes, Gasterosteidae.